UACGUAGGUGGCAAGCGUUGUCCGGAAUCACUGGGCGUAAAGCGCGCGCAGGCGGCGAUCUACGUCUGGGGUGAAAGCCCGGAGCUCAACUCCGGGACUGCCUUGGAUACGGGAUCGCUUGAGGAUUGGAGAGGCAAGGGGAAUUCCACGUGUAGCGGUGAAAUGCGUAGAUAUGUGGAGGAACACCUGUGGCGAAGGCGCCUUGCUGGCCAAUUUCUGACGCUGAGGCACGAAAGCGUGGGGAGCAAACAGG
Molecule: ribosomal RNA, 253 nt
Filed under: uncultured bacterium
Lineage: Bacteria
Description: partial 16S ribosomal RNA
Rfam family: Bacterial small subunit ribosomal RNA
Source: RNAcentral